GCUGCUGGAAGCCAGGGAGAGCAAGAAGGAGCCCUGAACUUGUUGCAGGGACUCCAUCAGGACAAGGCCCUGAGGCCUGCACUGUUCACUGGGGAUGGCACGGAGGCUGAUAAACUCACCUUAUUUUGGGAUUCCAGUCUGAGACUGUCCAGUUUGGCCGAUGUACAUAGCAGAG
This is a long non-coding RNA of Mauremys reevesii (Reeves's turtle), 175 nucleotides long. RefSeq lists it as uncharacterized. The transcript has 3 exons. NCBI's taxonomy places the organism in Eukaryota, Metazoa, Chordata, Testudines, Geoemydidae. The record is from RefSeq and is a predicted model, not a curated record.